This 76-nucleotide transfer RNA is filed under the name Minisyncoccota bacterium. RNAcentral's name for it is "tRNA-Ile". It matches the Rfam family "tRNA". From Rfam's summary of the family: Transfer RNA (tRNA) molecules are approximately 80 nucleotides in length. Their secondary structure includes four short double-helical elements and three loops (D, anti-codon, and T loops). Further hydrogen bonds mediate the characteristic L-shaped molecular structure. tRNAs have two regions of fundamental functional importance: the anti-codon, which is responsible for specific mRNA codon recognition, and the 3' end, to which the tRNAs corresponding amino acid is attached (by aminoacyl-tRNA synthetases). tRNAs cope with the degeneracy of the genetic code in two manners: having more than one tRNA (with a specific anti-codon) for a particular amino acid; and 'wobble' base-pairing, i.e. permitting non-standard base-pairing at the 3rd anti-codon position. RNAcentral also lists the same sequence under 1 other name. The record is from RNAcentral. Lineage: Bacteria; Bacillati; Minisyncoccota.
GCGCGCAUAGCUCAGUUGGUAGAGCGCCAAGCUUAUACCUUGGUGGUCCUAGGUUCGAGUCCUAGUGCGCGCACCA